GCUUAGAGAGGGGUCAAUGUCCUAUCAGCUAGUUGGUAGGGUAAUAGCCUACCAAGGCUAAGACGGGUAGCCGGCCUGAGAGGGUGGUCGGCCACACUGGGACUGAGACGCUGCCCAGACUCCUACGGGAGGCUGCAGUCGAGAAUCUUUCGCAAUGCCCGAAAGGGUGACGAAGCGACGCCGCGUGUGGGAAGAAGGCCUUCGGGUUGUAAACCACUGUCGGGAGUUAAGAAAUGUAAGGGUGUUAAUAGCAUCCUUACUUGACUAAGGCUCCGGAGGAAGCCACGGCUAACUCUGUGCCAGCAGCCGCGGUAAUACAGAGGCGGCAAGCGUUGUUCGGAAUUAUUGGGCGUAAAGAGCACGUAGGCGGCCUUGUAAGUCAGUUGUGAAAGCCUUCUGCUCAACGGAAGAACAGCAUCUGAUACUGCAAGGCUAGAGUACGGAAGGG
This 448-nucleotide ribosomal RNA is filed under the name uncultured Planctomycetota bacterium. Its description in RNAcentral is "bacterial SSU rRNA". It matches the Rfam family "Bacterial small subunit ribosomal RNA", at positions 217 to 656 of the family's 1533-position model. Lineage: Bacteria; Pseudomonadati; Planctomycetota. The record is from RNAcentral.